This 66-nucleotide transfer RNA is filed under the name uncultured Eubacterium sp. It matches the Rfam family "tRNA", at positions 5 to 66 of the family's 71-position model. From Rfam's summary of the family: Transfer RNA (tRNA) molecules are approximately 80 nucleotides in length. RNAcentral also lists the same sequence under 3 other names. Lineage: Bacteria; Bacillati; Bacillota; Clostridia; Eubacteriales; Eubacteriaceae. The record is from RNAcentral.
CAGUGGCUCAGUUGGUUAGAGCGCCGCCCUGUCACGGCGGAGGUCACGGGUUCGAGUCCCGUUUGG